GACGAACGCUGGCGGCGUGCUUAACACAUGCAAGUCGAACGGAAAGGCCCUGCCUUUGUGGGGUGCUCGAGUGGCGAACGGGUGAGUAACACGUGAGUAACCUGUCCUUGACUUUGGGAUAACUUAAGGACACUGGGGCUAAUACCGGAUAGGAGCUCUUGCCGCAUGGUGGGGGUUGGAAAGUUUCGGCGGUUGGGGAUGGAAUCGCGGACGAUCAGGUUGGUGGUGGGGUAGUGUCUUACCAAGGCUUUGAAGGGUAGCCUGGCUGCUCGGGUGACCGGCCACGUUGGGACGGGAAUGCGACCCGGACUACAACGGGAGGCAACGGUGGAGAGUAUUGCACUGGGGGCGGAAGCCUAGUGCGGCAAAGCCACGUGCGGGAUGACAUCCAUCGGGUAGUAAAGCACUUUCGCCUGUGACGAGGCGUUAGUGACGGUAAUGGGUAAAGAAGCACCGGCUAACUACGUG
RNAcentral lists this ribosomal RNA (468 nucleotides) under uncultured bacterium. RNAcentral describes it as "partial 16S ribosomal RNA". It matches the Rfam family "Bacterial small subunit ribosomal RNA", at positions 28 to 507 of the family's 1533-position model. The record is from RNAcentral.